This 252-nucleotide ribosomal RNA is filed under the name uncultured bacterium. Its description in RNAcentral is "partial 16S ribosomal RNA". It matches the Rfam family "Bacterial small subunit ribosomal RNA", at positions 524 to 776 of the family's 1533-position model. The record is from RNAcentral.
UACGGGGGGGGCAAGCGUUGUUCGGAAUUACUGGGCGUAAAGGGCCCGUAGGCGGCCAACUAAGUCGGAUGUGAAAUCCCCAGGCUCAACCUGGGAACUGCAUCCGAUACUGGAUGGCUUGAAUUCGGGGAGGGAUGCAGAAUUCCAGGUGUAGCGGUGAAAUGCGUAGAUAUCUGGAGGAAUACCGGUGGCGAAGGCGGCAUCCUGGACCGACAUUGACGCUGAACGGCGAAAGCUAGGGGAGCAAACGGG